RNAcentral lists this ribosomal RNA (2315 nucleotides) under Listeria monocytogenes. RNAcentral's name for it is "partial 23S ribosomal RNA". It matches the Rfam family "Bacterial large subunit ribosomal RNA", at positions 550 to 2861 of the family's 2925-position model. Lineage: Bacteria; Bacillati; Bacillota; Bacilli; Caryophanales; Listeriaceae. The record is from RNAcentral.
CUGAAACCGUGUGCCUACAAGUAGUUAGAGCCCGUUAAUGGGUGAUAGCGUGCCUUUUGUAGAAUGAACCGGCGAGUUACGAUUUGUUGCAAGGUUAAGCGGAAAAAGCGGAGCCGUAGCGAAAGCGAGUCUGAAUAGGGCGCAUAAGUAACAGGUCGUAGACCCGAAACCAGGUGAUCUACCCAUGUCCAGGAUGAAGGUAAGGUAAUACUUACUGGAGGUCCGAACCCACGCACGUUGAAAAGUGCGGGGAUGAGGUGUGGGUAGCGGAGAAAUUCCAAUCGAACUUGGAGAUAGCUGGUUCUCUCCGAAAUAGCUUUAGGGCUAGCCUCGAGGUAAAGAGUCAUGGAGGUAGAGCACUGUUUGGACUAGGGGCCCUUCUCGGGUUACCGAAUUCAGAUAAACUCCGAAUGCCAUGUACUUAUACUCGGGAGUCAGACUGCGAGUGAUAAGAUCCGUAGUCGAAAGGGAAACAGCCCAGACCACCAGUUAAGGUCCCCAAAUAUAUGUUAAGUGGAAAAGGAUGUGGGGUUGCUUAGACAACCAGGAUGUUGGCUUAGAAGCAGCCACCAUUGAAAGAGUGCGUAAUAGCUCACUGGUCGAGUGACCCCGCGCCGAAAAUGUACCGGGGCUAAACAUAUUACCGAAACUGUGGAUGAACCUCUUUAGAGGUUCGUGGUAGGAGAGCGUUCUAAGGGCGGUGAAGUCAGACCGGAAGGACUGGUGGAGCGCUUAGAAGUGAGAAUGCCGGUAUGAGUAGCGAAAGAAGGGUGAGAAUCCCUUCCACCGAAUAUCUAAGGUUUCCUGAGGAAGGCUCGUCCGCUCAGGGUUAGUCGGGACCUAAGCCGAGGCCGAUAGGCGUAGGCGAUGGACAACAGGUAGAGAUUCCUGUACCAGUGCUAAUUGUUUAACCGAUGGGGUGACACAGAAGGAUAGGGAAUCGCACGAAUGGAAAUGUGCGUCCAAGCAGUGAGUGUGAGAAGUAGGCAAAUCCGCUUCUCGCGAAGCAUGAGCUGUGAUGGGGAAGGAAAUUAAGUACGGAAGUUCCUGAUUUCACGCUGUCAAGAAAAGCCUCUAGGAAGAGUAGUACUGCCCGUACCGCAAACCGACACAGGUAGAUGAGGAGAGAAUCCUAAGGUGAGCGAGAGAACUCUCGUUAAGGAACUCGGCAAAAUGACCCCGUAACUUCGGGAGAAGGGGUGCUCUAUUAGGGUGCAAGCCCGAGAGAGCCGCAGUGAAUAGGCCCAGGCGACUGUUUAGCAAAAACACAGGUCUCUGCAAAACCGUAAGGUGACGUAUAGGGGCUGACGCCUGCCCGGUGCUGGAAGGUUAAGAGGAGUGCUUAGCUUCGGCGAAGGUACGAAUUGAAGCCCCAGUAAACGGCGGCCGUAACUAUAACGGUCCUAAGGUAGCGAAAUUCCUUGUCGGGUAAGUUCCGACCCGCACGAAAGGCGCAACGAUCUGGGCACUGUCUCAACGAGAGACUCGGUGAAAUUAUAGUACCUGUGAAGAUGCAGGUUACCCGCGACAGGACGGAAAGACCCCGUGGAGCUUUACUGCAACCUGAUAUGGAAUGUUUGUACCGCUUGUACAGGAUAGGUAGGAGCCGAAGAGACGUGUGCGCUAGCAUACGAGGAGGCAAUGGUGGGAUACUACCCUGGCUGUAUGACCAUUCUAACCCGCCACGCUUAGCGCGUGGGGAGACAGUGUCAGGUGGGCAGUUUGACUGGGGCGGUCGCCUCCUAAAGAGUAACGGAGGCGCCCAAAGGUUCCCUCAGAAUGGAUGGAAAUCAUUCGCAGAGUGUAAAGGCACAAGGGAGCUUGACUGCGAGACUGACAAGUCGAGCAGGGACGAAAGUCGGGCUUAGUGAUCCGGUGGUUCCGCAUGGAAGGGCCAUCGCUCAACGGAUAAAAGCUACCCCGGGGAUAACAGGCUUAUCUCCCCCAAGAGUCCACAUCGACGGGGAGGUUUGGCACCUCGAUGUCGGCUCGUCGCAUCCUGGGGCUGUAGUCGGUCCCAAGGGUUGGGCUGUUCGCCCAUUAAAGCGGCACGCGAGCUGGGUUCAGAACGUCGUGAGACAGUUCGGUCCCUAUCCGUCGCGGGCGCAGGAAAUUUGAGAGGAGCUGUCCUUAGUACGAGAGGACCGGGAUGGACACACCGCUGGUGUACCAGUUGUUCCGCCAGGAGCAUCGCUGGGUAGCUAUGUGUGGCAGGGAUAAACGCUGAAAGCAUCUAAGCGUGAAGCCCCCCUCAAGAUGAGAUUUCCCAUUUCUUCGGAAAGUAAGAUCCCUGAAAGAUGAUCAGGUAGAUAGGU